CGCAAAAGAUACUCGAAUGUCGUUAAAAUCUUUACAAUAUCUGGAAAAAUAAAGAGGCAAACCAUUUCCAUCAUCUAGUAUACAUAUUCAAAAGUUUAGAUGAAAAGGUAAUCGCCUGAACACUCGACUAUAAAAGGCUCAAAAAAUAGGUACGCUAAGCGUACAUGUAUCUGCGCAUUAAAGGUCCAGACACAGCAAAUAAAAACAAGAAAUAAAAUUUUACAAGAUAUGCAGACAAAAUAGCUAAAUAUUUUUAAGUGGUUCCGAAUAUUUGAAAAGACGCGUUGCCAAAUCGCGUCCGGUCUGUGUGGGCCUUAAGGCCUGAUUCCACGACGGCGAAAUUCGUCGCGAGAAAUUGUGUCUGCGAAAUACGGUUGGUUGCACAUGUGAGCGAUUGUAUUGAAUUUUCCCACUUUGUCCGUGGCUUUCGCAGUAAGUAGAAAUGUUUCGCCUUCAGUCGCCGAGAAAAAGCUCUCGCGGAAUCAGGGCUUUACUGCAUUUGUGUUGCAUUGACAGAAUUACAUUUUUACCGCAAGUGUCCGAAAUUGUGCUAGUUGAAAUUAUAUGCCUGCUUCAGAUAUAAUUUUACGUUUAACCAGUGACUUCUAAAUUAAGAGGACGAGAACCAUUUAUAUCCCGAAUGCAAUAACAGUCAUACAAGAAAGUUUCUUUUUAUCUGGAGCUAAAUAUCUGCUACUCAUACAGUUCAUUACUUUUAAGAACAAUCUAAAGAAAACAAUUAAUUAAGGCUGUAAAACGUGGGGAUUCAAAGACGUCGGAUUAGACGUCUGUACAUGGAGUCAUGUAUUCGAGACCGACUUGUGGGCAAGUGUAUAGGAGUCAUGAGCUAAUAAUAUAUAGUUUCUGACAUUUAAAACAUGCAACAGGGCUACGUUUAUGCUAUACUUUGUUUUUAUAGUUUAGCCAAGUUUCAUAGGCCUCCAUUAAAUAACAGUCAAGAUAUAUACGCAAAUAUAAUUUCCGUGUCUAUCUAAAAUUUGUAAUUGUUUUGUGAAGAUUCAACCAUAAAACAAUCGCCGGAAAUGGAAGUGCCCUGAUUAUAAAAGAUCGUGACUAAAACACCACACGAGUACAUACGAGUAACACACAAGUACAUACGAGUACAUACGAGUAACAUACGAGUACAUACGAGUAACAUACGAGUAAAACACAAGUACACACGAGUACAUACGAGUAGAAUACGAGUAAAAUACGAGUAGUAAACUUGUUUUUAGUGUUUGUAGAUUGAAUACAGGCAAAAAGAUCGUCUUCUCUGUCGAAAAACGUGAAAUAGACUGAAACCGGCUAUCUUUAAAACCCGGAACGGGGAAUGGGGCCGACGGGGAAUGGGAGAACGGGGAAAUGGGGAAACGGAGAAUGGGAGCACGAGGAACGGGGGGUGACAGGGGAAUGGGGGAAUUAUGAAUUAUUAUUAAUACGGAAUAUUAAUGAUAUGUACGGGGGGAAAAAGAACAGAAAAAGGAAACAGAAAUUCGACAGGAUAAACAGGAAUCGGGGAAUUACGAAACUAUAAAACGGAUUCUGGUGUCUUGGGAAUUAGAAAACCGCUCAAUGAAUUAAAAAGUAAAGAAAUUUAGCGAAGUUUUCCUUUAUUAGUAGAGCGUAUCAUAAAAAAGUCAAUCCACAUUGCUUAUGUCAGAUCAUUAAGUAAUAUUCACUAAUAAUAAUAACAUUGCUUAUGUCAUUACUAAUAUACUUGCUAUAUAAUAAAACAAACUUAAGGACUAGAUGCAAGGCGAAGGCAGUCCUUAUGCUCCAUAUGAUAUCUUAAAGUGAUUAUCCGAUUUUAAAUAUCUUACAAAGCAAAACUAACAAAACACAAAAUACUUCAAAAAGUACGCAGAUUUUAAGUUAGCAAUUUAAGUUGUUGCCAAAAAAGGACCCAGCCGAACUCUCCUACAAACCUUUGGACGUGCUCCACCUUGAAAAGGGGAGGAAAGUCUGGAGGAACGACGAGAACGUCGCCAAGAAAGCUUGGAUACUUUGCUCUGAUGCAGGCUGAUCGGAGAUGAAAAUGCACGUUCUGAGGCUCACUUGAAAACUGGAUUUGUCCUGUAUUUCGGUCUCGGAACUGUCGUAUGUCGUGGUAUUCGACAAUUAAAUCAUCAGGUAAAGCUUCAGGAGGAUUCUUUAUUUUUCCGUUGCAUCCGUAACAUCGAGAUACCCGUGUCCCUGCUACACAUUUUAGUUUGAAC
RNAcentral lists this long non-coding RNA (2216 nucleotides) under Paramuricea clavata. Lineage: Eukaryota; Metazoa; Cnidaria; Anthozoa; Malacalcyonacea; Plexauridae. The record is from RNAcentral.